This 468-nucleotide ribosomal RNA is filed under the name uncultured bacterium. RNAcentral describes it as "partial 16S ribosomal RNA". It matches the Rfam family "Bacterial small subunit ribosomal RNA", at positions 28 to 507 of the family's 1533-position model. The record is from RNAcentral.
GACGAACGCUGGCGGCGUGCUUAACACAUGCCAGUCGAACGGAAAGGCCCUGCUUUUGUGGGGUGCUCGAGUGGCGAACGGGUGAGUAACACGUGAGUAACCUGCCCUUGACUUUGGGAUAACUUCAGGAAACUGGGGCUAAUACCGGAUAGGAGCUCCUGCUGCAUGGUGGGGGUUGGAAAGUUUCGGCGGUUGGGGAUGGACUCGCGGCUUAUCAGCUUGUUGGUGGGGUGGUGGCUUACCAAGGCUUUGACGGGUAGCCGGCCUGAGAGGGUGACCGGCCACAUUGGGACGGAGAUACGGCCCAGACUCCUACGGGAGGCAGCAGUGGGGAAUAUUGCACAAUGGGCGGAAGCCUGAUGCAGCAACGCCGCGUGCGGGAUGACGGCCUUCGGGUUGUAAACCGCUUUCGCCUGUGACGAAGCGUGAGUGACGGUAAUGGGUAAAGAAGCACCGGCUAACUACGUG